This is a non-coding RNA of Vicia faba (fava bean), 246 nucleotides long. The record is from the annotation of a GenBank genome assembly. Lineage: Eukaryota; Viridiplantae; Streptophyta; Magnoliopsida; Fabales; Fabaceae.
AUGAAAUCUCUGUGUACCUUAAUCAUUGCUGUGAUCUUUGCCAUAACAGUGAUCCUUUCACUUGAGGUAAAUGCUUUCAAAAAUACCAAAGCUAGUACUUACCCAUCUUCAUCCAAAGUUUCAAAAAUGCUUUCAUCAUUUCAUUCUCUCUCAUAUAAACAAGGGGAUUCAAAAUCAACUCAACAGGUAGCUGCUAGCCUUAGAGUCAUACCACCUAGCAGACCAAAUCCAACACAGAACAAGUAA